This 396-nucleotide ribosomal RNA is filed under the name uncultured bacterium. RNAcentral's name for it is "partial 16S ribosomal RNA". It matches the Rfam family "Bacterial small subunit ribosomal RNA", at positions 523 to 918 of the family's 1533-position model. The record is from RNAcentral.
AUACGUAGGUGACAAGCGUUAUCCGGAUUUACUGGGCGUAAAGGGCGUGUAGGCGGUCUUGCAAGUCAGAAGUGAAAUUCCUGAGCUCAACUCGGGCGCUGCUUCUGAAACUGCAGGACUUGAGUGCUGGAGGGGAUAGCGGAAUUCCUAGUGGAGCGGUAAAAUGCGCAGAUAUUAGGAAGAACACCGGUGGCGAAGGCGGCUAUCUGGACAGUAACUGACGCUGAGGCGCGAAAGCGUGGGGAGCAAACAGGAUUAGAUACCCUGGUAGUCCACGCCCUAAACGAUGAAUACUAGGUGUGGGGGGACUGACCCCUUCCGUGCCGGAGUAAACACAAUAAGUAUUCCACCUGGGGAGUACGACCGCAAGGUUGAAACUCAAAUGAAUUGACGGGG